Molecule: ribosomal RNA, 392 nt
Filed under: uncultured bacterium
Lineage: Bacteria
Description: partial 16S ribosomal RNA
Rfam family: Bacterial small subunit ribosomal RNA
Source: RNAcentral
AUACGGAGGAUCCGAGCGUUAUCCGGAUUUAUUGGGUUUAAAGGGUGCGCAGGCGGCCAUUUAAGUCAGCGGUUAAAUCGUGGGGCUCAACCCCAUUCUGCCGUUGAUUCUGGGUGGCUUGAUUGCGGUCGAGGUUGGCGGAAUUCGUUGUGUAGCGGUGAAAUGCAUAGAUAUGACGAAGAACACCGAUUGCGUAGGCAGCUGACCAGACCGCAAAUGACGCUCAUGCACGAAAGUGCGGGGAUCGAACAGGAUUAGAUACCCUGGUAGUCCGCACAGUAAACGAUGAAUACUUGUUUUCGGCGAUAUAAUGUCGGAGGCAAAGCGAAAGCGAUAAGUAUUCCACCUGGGGAGUACGCCGGCAACGGUGAAACUCAAAUGAAUUGACGGGG